Molecule: non-coding RNA, 78 nt
Organism: Balearica pavonina (black crowned-crane)
Lineage: Eukaryota; Metazoa; Chordata; Aves; Gruiformes; Gruidae
Source: Rfam
CUUUCUACACAGGUUGGGAUCAGUUGCAAUGCUGUGUAUGUCUGUGGUAUUGCACUUGUCCCGGCCUGUUGAGGUUGG